AAAAUCAGAAAACUAAAACUCACCGACAACAGAGUUCUUCGGUGCGGCAGCUCUGCUGGCUCACCUUUGUAGUUGGAUGUUUUACUUCGAUCAACCUAUAGAGAAGGAAACGGUGAUUAUAAUGGUGGAAGAAUUACACAAAAUGAGAAUUGGGAAGGGCCUCACCGGAGGCGAUUUUUGUAAUUUCUCGCAGUAGCAUCGUAGGGCUUUGCCCGCAUCAUUUGAUUAAUUCACCGAUCUUUUUACUCCAAUUUGGCCAUAGGGUAUUUAAAAUCGAAUUUCGAGGAAAGAAAU
This 294-nucleotide long non-coding RNA is filed under the name Carica papaya (papaya). RNAcentral's name for it is "long non-coding RNA (CPAP_LNC011993)". Lineage: Eukaryota; Viridiplantae; Streptophyta; Magnoliopsida; Brassicales; Caricaceae. The record is from RNAcentral.